Molecule: ribosomal RNA, 3668 nt
Filed under: Triticum aestivum (bread wheat)
Lineage: Eukaryota; Viridiplantae; Streptophyta; Magnoliopsida; Poales; Poaceae
Description: partial small subunit ribosomal RNA
Source: RNAcentral
CUUAAAGUCUGUCGAUUUGUUUGAGCCGGCGGGUCGAAGGAGGAGGAGGAGGAGGGGGAGGAAGGGGAGCUGGACGACCACUGGCGGCAGACGGAAGAGGCUGCUUAGAGGGGCGCUCAAGCCGGAUCGAGGUGUCCCUCAGAGCUUAGAGGGGAAACGGCGACUCAGCUCCUUCUUCUAGCCGAGCCCAAGCGAACGAGCAAGCGAGCUCCUGCUCUAAGUCGCCGCCCUGACUAACUAACUAACCCGCGCUCGCUCUCGCCUACUUCCCCUUCCCGCCCCGCGAGCUGUCCUCCAGCAGACGCUCCACCUCCGACGACGACGAGACGCGGAAGUCGAAACCCGAGCCGUACGAGAAGUGGUUGGCGAAGACCUGUCGUGGUUCAUGGUUAUUGGUGUAGUACAGGGUUGUGUCCUCUGUUCUGGUCCUCAACGUUGAACACAGUCUCCUAACGUUAUGUUUCUCCUUCGUACCCCUCGUGUUCCUAUAUUACCCUCUCCAUUGGUCCUGGGUACUUCGGUAUGUUAACAACCUAUUCAGUUAGAGUUGCGACGUCUACCUCGAACGUCGUUUCGCUUCGUGCAACCUUGACCAGGCAAGACCACACGGUCAUUGAAGUCUUUGAUCAGUUGGUUCCUUUUUUCGUAAGCAACAGCAACCUCAAUUGUGGCGAAAGUCAUCGGCGUUCGCAGCACUAAGUCAGUCCCUCUGUACCUACGGAGUUCCACUCUUCGACGACGUCGAACUUCUUGUCUUCCCUUAUCAAUAGGCGAAGUGAUAUCCGGUAUCCCUGAUUUUCCUUAUAAGAUCUCGGGGAGUGUUUUAUAGUCUUAAUAACUUCGUGAUUUUUAUAUAUAUUGUAUAUAAACGAGGUUGAGUUUAUGUUAUACACAAUAAAGUUUUUAGGUUUUACAGUACCUUUUUACACGUAGUAGAGACCAAUGACAAAGGUCGUAAAGUUUUUUACUACUUGUAAAAACUUUCGGUAAAACCCAAGUGAUUUUUAUAAAAUCAACUUGGAUAACUUAAGGAAACUACGAUCCCAAACUUUGUUAGGGGUAAAGUUUAAAUUCUCUUUGAAUUUGUACUACGUUGUGUUCUGAUCGAUUGGGUCUCGUCCGGUCUUGAUCCCUACACUGUGGUUGCUGUUCGAACUGGUCCUAUUAGGCCAGGGGAACGGGGAACUACCGAUGGUGAGGUAUGAACUCCGAGCUACGGAUGAGGUAAAGACAAACAUCAACAGGGGCACAUGGUGUUGAACUUCGGCCAUAGGAGAUGGAGGAUGCGGAACACAGGGAAGGUAAACCAAAGAAGCUGUGUAUCCUACAGUUGUAGAGAGGAGUGGCAACGUAGGUGAUUAAGGGCAUUGAAUGUGAGGGAUGUAAAGUCGAUAGAUACGCCUAGGACGAUCCGAACCGAUCGACAGAACGAGAAGCGUGAACAGCUCGGUUUACGCUUCUGGGAACGAGUAAAAAAGUGAUGUGGGCCCGCAGCUAUAUCGCACGGUGAUUCCUACGCUGCUGUACUACGAGUGAAUAGUGGCAUAGGUCUAGUUCUAUUCCACGUGGUGGUUCCCCCACUGCCGGGCCCGGAACGGUAAAUUGUAAUGUGGGCCCAAGGCUAUACCGCAGAGCGAUUCUCCCAAUGCGGGGUUGCCACAAGAAGAUCCAAAGUAGAAGUAUUCUCACCGACGCAAAACUGAAACCGAGCGGUUCGGAUAGUGUUAGGAGGAAUUGGGUCCGAACCCUGGCCGAUGUGACUCUGUUGUAUCCACCUCAACGUACGUAGGUACUUAUUCGAUAUUAUUAAAAGUGGUUUAAACCCCAUUCUGUACGUGUUCAGAGAACGAUUCAACGAUCAACCGUUAAACGGUAGUCUUGUGGAGUUGAGGGAACCAACGUUACCUACUAAGUCACUGUGUUGAGAAUAAAUUAGGUAGAAGGAAUAGAAAAUAUAGAUUCAUCAAUCGGGGGUGAUUGAUAAAGAGAGUUGUACGUUCGUACGGUGUAGUAGCGUGUUGUACGUACUCUUUUCCGGGUGGAGGUGAUGGUAUACAGAGAGUCGUACGUUCGUACGGUGAAGUAGUACUUUGUACGUACCUUUUUCUGAGUAGAGUUGUACGUUUGUAUGUACUCUUAAAAGUAAGAUAAUACAAUAAAUAUAAAUUAUGUGUAAAAUUUUGAUAUAUCAUGAGUUUGUAUUAUUUAAUAUACAUAAAAGUCAAGGCCGGAAAGUAUAACAAUGAAGUUUAUAAGUACAAAGUAUGUUGCUUAGUGUAAAUUUAUACAACGUUUUAUAAAGGCGUUGUUGCACGCCCCAUAGUAGAUCAAGAUAUCUUGUCCCCACAAUUAUAAUCCCAACAAGAUACAACGAUAAGGACAGGCGAACUUUUAGACCAUGUUCAAGGAACGUUUUACACUUGACAAAACCACUAACACGUCACGAUGUAGGUUAUCAUAUAACCUGUUUCGUUAUCUACGUCUUCUACUUGUCGUAGUGCUGAAAGAAUCUGACCUGGUACAGCUCCCCAUAGUACUUGAGAGGCGUUUCUGUUUUUAGAAGAAGAGGUGCAGGCACCCGUAAACCCUACGACUGAAAAAGCAGUUCCAGCUACUACUACACGUACACUUGAAUCCUUACGAACGGUGAUGGGAACGCUCCGUAUUUCGCUUUGGUUCUUGAAUAUAACCGACGUACUUCAGUCCGGGUCAAGACCGACUGUUCUUAGACUUCAUGGUACUUGGACUCCGGACCUUUAAACCCCUCCUACCUUUGUUCAUAAAAGCGGUACGAUGACCUGUCUAUAUACGAUAGAGUUUUCUAGAACGCUGGAUAUAGAGUUAUUUAGUUGGAUAGAAUGUGUUCAUACGCUUGCUUCUACAUAGUGAACCCAGUACCAAAUAGCCCAAUCUCCAAUUAGUAUAACUACUUUCCUUGUACACGACGCCUUGAGGUGGUCUGACACUCACCUUUCCCGUUCGACCGUUAUAGACGCACCGUAGGAAACUAACCUCGACGUCGCCGUAUACGUUCAGGCAGCUCUCUGAGUUCCUACAUGUACGAGCUACGCCGCUUCCGCUAAGAAGACAAACCUCACUAGAUUAGAUCGAUUAUGGGAGGGACCGCAUUUAUACAUCGUAGGAGUCAUUUGGGACUGCUAGCACGGAGUCACCGAUGUUGACUUUACUGGCUUUAACGUGUUGUCCAGGCGUCUACCUGAUAUAAAGACCAUCAAGCCAGACUCCGUUGUGUACAUCACAUCUACUAUGAACAAGUCAGCAACUCUCUAGAGUCAUCUACCCUUAACGAAACACGGUAGUGGACACUGCAGUCAUCACAAUCUUCUCUCUGGUUUCGCUCGCUCAAUGUGUCGACGACACAUGGUGUCUAAUCCCCUUUUGUAGAUGACGUUUAAAACUAGUUAAGAAAACUACAGCCAAGAAAAACAAUAGGAAACGUCCUUGUGGACUUUUAUCCUAAGUUAGGAGUUAAAACAGAACUUUUAAGUUACGUUGUAUGGCAUUUUUUCGUUGUAUAAAAACUUCCGUCCUCAUAGCGCAGCUGUGUGAGACGGACACAGCUACUUAAUUCUAGGCGGCUAGAAUACGAGCCCUCCAAUGGCACCUUAUUACAUGUUUACCCCCAACACAUACUUCCCAGGAGGAUC